RNAcentral lists this long non-coding RNA (384 nucleotides) under Lupinus mutabilis. Its description in RNAcentral is "partial ncRNA". Lineage: Eukaryota; Viridiplantae; Streptophyta; Magnoliopsida; Fabales; Fabaceae. The record is from RNAcentral.
UCCUAGACGUUCUCUACCACGUGAAAAUAUGCUUUUGCUUCUACUUGAGUUGUUGGUGAAAUGUGAGGGAUGAGACCUGUAUCUAGAAUUGCGAUCUGCACUAAACUUGCAACUAAAAACAGGCUGUCUGAUAUUAUUGUCUUGAAUCUGAAAAACCACCGGGUCACACUCCGGUUCACCACCAAACUGAAAAACAAACCGAGGAUCCGGUUCAGACCGGACAACAACAUGAAUCAUCUUAUCCCCUUCACCACCACCAUCCUUAUCCUUCUUCUUCUUCCCAAUAUGAAGCCACCCAUUCUGGAACGUACUACUCCGAAGCCACGAACUCUCUGUGAGUUCAAUGUUCACAGUAACACGCCCAACCAACUUCGCUUCAGUGAU